Molecule: ribosomal RNA, 393 nt
Filed under: uncultured bacterium
Lineage: Bacteria
Description: partial 16S ribosomal RNA
Rfam family: Bacterial small subunit ribosomal RNA
Source: RNAcentral
AUACGGAGGAUGCGAGCGUUAUCCGGAUUUAUUGGGUUUAAAGGGUGCGUAGGCGGGCUGUUAAGCGUGAGGUGAAAGCUCGGGGCUCAACCCCGGAACUGCCUCGCGAACUGGCGGUCUUGAAUGUCCGUGCCGUGGGAGGAAUGUGUGGUGUAGCGGUGAAAUGCAUAGAGAUCACACAGAACACCGAUUGCGAAGGCAUCUCACGAACGGAUGAUUGACGCUGAGGCACGAAAGCGUGGGGAUCAAACAGGAGUAGAUACCCUGGUAGUCCACGCAGUAAACGAUGAUGACUAACCGUCGGCGAUACACAGUCGGUGGCCAAGCGAAAGCGAUAAGUCAUCCACCUGGGGAGUACGUUCGCAAGAAUGAAACUCAAAGGAAUUGACGGGG